CAAAAACAUUUUUUAAUGAAAUAACAUUAAAUAAAACCUGCUCCCUGUUUAAAUAAAGAGCCGCAGAAAAUUUACUGUGCUAAGGUAGCGUAAUCACUUGUCUUUUAAUUAAAGACUAGAAUGAAAGGUUCCACAAUUAAAAGAUUUUCUUAAUUAUGUUCUUCUAAUUUUCAUUAAAAAUAAUAAUAUUUUUAUCCCCCUAAAAGACGACAAGACCCUAUUGAACUUUACUGUAGUUAGGCUGGGGAAGCCUGAUAAUAAUUAUCUUAAUUUAGCUAUUUACAUAAGUAUCCUUUUAACAGGACUUUAAUCAAGUUACCAAAGGGAUAACAGCGUAAUAUUUUUUAAAAGUUCUUAUUAAUAGUCCACUAUACGACCUCGAUGUUGAAUUAAUUUCCCUCCCCCAUGCAAUAAUGGGCUAAGUAAGUCUGUUCGACUUUUCAAAAAUUACAUGAUCUGAGUUCAAACCGG
Molecule: ribosomal RNA, 471 nt
Filed under: Nesticella gazuida
Lineage: Eukaryota; Metazoa; Arthropoda; Arachnida; Araneae; Nesticidae
Description: partial 16S ribosomal RNA
Rfam family: Bacterial large subunit ribosomal RNA
Source: RNAcentral